Molecule: ribosomal RNA, 169 nt
Filed under: Udeniomyces pyricola
Lineage: Eukaryota; Fungi; Basidiomycota; Tremellomycetes; Cystofilobasidiales; Mrakiaceae
Description: partial 18S rRNA
Rfam family: Eukaryotic small subunit ribosomal RNA
Source: RNAcentral
GGGCGCACGCGCGCUACACUGACUGAACCAACGAGUUUAUCACCUUGGCCGGAAGGUCUGGGUAAUCUUGUGAAAUUCAGUAGUGCUGGGGAUAGAGCAUUGCAAUUCUUGCUCUUCAACGAGGAAUUCCUAGUAAGCGUGAGUCAUCAGCUCGCGUUGAUUACGUCCC